This 66-nucleotide transfer RNA is filed under the name Rasbora myersi (silver rasbora). Its description in RNAcentral is "tRNA-Cys". It matches the Rfam family "tRNA". Rfam says of the family: Transfer RNA (tRNA) molecules are approximately 80 nucleotides in length. The record is from RNAcentral. Lineage: Eukaryota; Metazoa; Chordata; Actinopteri; Cypriniformes; Danionidae.
GGCCUUGAGGUGUAUUACAUGUUAGAUUGCAAACCUAAAGUUGUAGAUUAGAGUCUGCCGGGGCUU